GGAUCAAUAGCUCAAUUGGUUAGAGCCCUCGGCCCAUAACCGAGUGGUUGCAGGUCCGAGCCCUGCUUGAUCCACCA
RNAcentral lists this transfer RNA (77 nucleotides) under bacterium. RNAcentral's name for it is "tRNA-Ile". It matches the Rfam family "tRNA". From Rfam's summary of the family: Transfer RNA (tRNA) molecules are approximately 80 nucleotides in length. Their secondary structure includes four short double-helical elements and three loops (D, anti-codon, and T loops). RNAcentral also lists the same sequence under 2 other names. The record is from RNAcentral.